AAAUCUAGAGAGAGAGGCGAUGAGGACACAGAGAGAGUAAUAGAGAAAGAGAGAGGCAAUGAAAUCAAAGUUUCAAAAAAUGAUUUUGCAAACCCAAAACCUGGGCAGAAUAGUAAAUAGAGAAGGCCCGGAGUGGGGACUAGGGAGAGAGAAAAAUCUACCACCAUCAAAUAAAGGUAAGGAGAAAAAAAAACGCUUACGAUACAAAGGAGAUAGAGUUUUCUCCUCUUAUGAAUACUCUUAACACCGACGAUUACGAUACAUAAAUAGAGGAGGAAAAAAAAAAUACCUUGCAAUAUAGAGAUGAGAAGGAGAUAGAGUUCGUACCUGCCACCAUCCAUUCCCUUGCCAGAAUUAUACCACGCAGGAAUUGAGAUGCAGACAUAAAGAGAACUACCACCGGUUUGGACAGGGCAAAGACAAACAAAUAAGAGAGAACGUGAGUUCGUUAUUCGGAAAGAGCAUUGGUAAUAAGAGAAAUCUGACAUCUUCCUGUCAGAACGCCAAAAACCUUUAUCGGGUGUUACUAUUGCACUUUCCUUUUUUCUUUUUCUUUUUUUUUUUUGGCAACACAAAGCUUGGGCGAGGUUUGAUAUUUUGGGUCUUCUAAGAUAGAAGUUCAAUGGCAGUUUUAGGUAAAUGGGGACAACCAAAGCUGCAAUGGACGUAGAUUAUGAAUCAAUCUUUUGCGCUGAUGUUAACAACUACACCAUUGUUCAAAUGAACUCACAAAACUCCAAUGCCACGACUACACAAUUGAGGAGCUCAUCACAAAGAGUUUCAACAACGUUGACAUUGUCCUCUUUAGCAAUCAGAUUGGCCAGAUGAAUGUGAAGAAAGGUGCAUCAUAGACAACAGUACCUAAUCUUUCUCCCUCUCUUUUUGGUAUUGGAACACCAUUGUUUCAUUUUUUUUUUCCUUUCGGGUUUUCAAUUCUGGCAGAUUAUUAUUGGAACACCAGUGUUUGAAGAAAUGCUUAAACUGAACUUUGGAUUGGAUGUGUGGAACCCAAUUGUUUAUGCACGUACAAUACUAUUUAUAGAUUUCUUUUAAAUUUUGUUGUGAAUUGUGAUAUCAAUAUUUGGUUAAGUAUAUGUAUGUGGGAUUGGCCUAUGUAUGCUCAACAUACAUAUUCAUAUUGGUAUAUUUAAUUUGUGUUUGCCAA
This is a long non-coding RNA of Quercus robur (English oak), 1165 nucleotides long. RefSeq lists it as uncharacterized. The record is from RefSeq and is a predicted model, not a curated record. The transcript has 5 exons. Lineage: Eukaryota; Viridiplantae; Streptophyta; Magnoliopsida; Fagales; Fagaceae.